This 880-nucleotide long non-coding RNA is filed under the name Homo sapiens (human). RNAcentral describes it as "non-protein coding lnc-A1BG-2:4". The record is from RNAcentral. Lineage: Eukaryota; Metazoa; Chordata; Mammalia; Primates; Hominidae.
CGGCACUCGCAGUCCGUCUACUCACGUCCCCUAGUCAGCCUCUCACUCUCUACCCGCUGGGCGGUACCCCGCAUCUCGCUCUGGCCGCCCCAGAGGUUCGCGGCUUCUGGACCUGCUGUGCCCCUCUCCAGCCUGGAUCAGGACGGAGAACACCCCCGAAACCCACCUCACCAGCACAGCCGGCGGACCCUUCCGGAGGUGGCCGCAGAGACUAGCCAACUUGCGCGCCCGCCGACCCGGACCACAGCUCCCAGCACACCUCAAGGGCCCACGCCCGCCAGGACUACAAUUCCCGGCGUCCUCCGGAAGCUCAAGUGUACCCAGGCGCGGUGCCUGCUGGGAAUUGUAGUUGACGUUGGUCAGCACGGAGGCCACAGGAUCCCAGCCCGGCCUUUGUGGGACUGAGGUGGCGCUGAGUGGGAGAGCAGCAGGCGAUGCGCGAAAGGCGGGACUUGGAGAUAAAUACUGAGCACCCACAACAGGCAGCCAGCACCACUGCAGAUUGGAUACUGCAAUGAUGAUAAGCAUGGCCUGCCUUUAUGGAGGUUCUGGAUGUUCCUGUGGAUAACCUCAAGGAGCACGGGACCUGGGACAUGACUGCCCCCAGCAUUCCUUCUGGCGGCAGACAGAGUUUGUCAGUUCGCCAACAUCCUGCUUUCAUGAGAACAGUUUGCUGUUUGCUCACAGAGCCUCCAGUGGUAUACUGAGUUGGUCACGACCCUCAUUCCUUCGGCCUCCAACAUCUCCCCUUUUGUUUUUGCAUUAAUUGAAUAAAGGUAAUUUCAGGCUGUGCAGCUUUCAAUUGCCGGUUGGUGGUUCACCCGAUCCUAUAGACUAUGAGCAAAAAAACAGAGACAUAACAACAUUAUUCUUGUAAUUA